RNAcentral lists this ribosomal RNA (500 nucleotides) under uncultured bacterium. RNAcentral's name for it is "partial 16S ribosomal RNA". It matches the Rfam family "Bacterial small subunit ribosomal RNA", at positions 30 to 523 of the family's 1533-position model. The record is from RNAcentral.
AUUGAACGCUGGCGGCAGGCCUAACACAUGCAAGUCGAGCGGAUGACGGGAGCUUGCUCCUUGAUUCAGCGGCGGACGGGUGAGUAAUGCCUAGGAAUCUGCCUGGUAGUGGGGGACAACGUUUCGAAAGGAACGCUAAUACCGCAUACGUCCUACGGGAGAAAGCGGGGGACCUUCGGGCCUUGCGCUAUCAGAUUAGCCUAGGUCGGAUUAGCUAGUUGGUGGGGUAAUGGCUCACCAAGGCGACGAUCCGUAACUGGUCUGAGAGGAUGAUACGUCACACUGGAACUAAGACACGGUCCAGACUCCUACGGGAGUCAGCAGUGGGGAAUAUUGGACAAUGGGCGAAAGCCUGAUCCAGCCAUGCCGCGUGUGUGAAGAAGGUCUUCGGAUUGUAAAGCACUUUAAGUUGGGAGGAAGGGCAGUAAGUUAAUACCUUGCUGUUUUGACGUUACCGACAGAAUAAGCACCGGCUAACUCUGUGCCAGCAGCCGCCGUAA